GGAAAUGUUUUCACACUGAAUGGGAAGAAGUGACACAUUCAGGUUACUUUUCAAACUGAUACAGAAUCUAAUUGCUGUGUGUUUAUUUACACAUGUUGAAAUUGCUUCUUAGUUGGUGAGUAAAUCUUCAUGAUACCUUUUUCCUUUAUUUUCUAUUCAUGAGAAGGCAACCAUUUUUAUGCUGUGAUUGUUUUCAAUGACUUCCACUUUUACUUGCGCUGACAAUCCUGAUGACAUUUAUCUGACUUAAAACACUAUCUAAACCAAUUUCAAAUACUAGAUUUCGAAGCAUUCCUUUGUUACUAUCAGCAAAGUUGUUAAAAGGCCUGAAAAAAAGAAGUAAGAAAUUGAUAAAAAAAUUCAUCCGUUGCAUUCCAACUAAUCAGUUAUAGUUGGCGGCCAUUUAUCUACAUGUGCAUGUAAUCCUAAAUUCAAUUACUUCAUCAUGAACAUAUGUUUUCAUGUUCUAUUCAUUUCUUUAAAUAUUUUUUUCACUUGAAUAAAAUAUCCAGGCAGUUAUUACAAAAACCUUGAGGAACUCAACUUGUAGACCAUGUUCAAUACUUGAGUAUAUGCUAGACAUUUGUUUAUAUCGUGCCAGAUUGUUUCACUUGGAACUAAUCCAAGUUGUGCUUUUGAUUAUGUGCUUAUUUUGUUGUGGGUUAGAACAAAGAGACGGGGAUGAUACAGAGGCACAUCGGUUGUGUGAACUUUGAAGAAACCGAACUUAUCCCUAUUCUUGCCCUUAUCUCACCCAUCUUUAGUUUUUCCUUUCUAAUUAAUUCUCAUCAUAACUAAACUCUAAUGCCAAAGUAGUUGGGUCAUCUAUAUGGAUAUUUUUUCUCCAUUCCAGUUGGUUUGGCUGUAUGCUGGAAAAUAUAUAGGGUCACCAUUGGUUUGCUGUUUGCCUCCUUCUCCUACAACUUUCAAUAUGCUCAACCUUUCAUAUGGAUUUGUUAGUUCUACAAUGUACAUGUCUGAAUCAUCACAAUCUUCCUUUGCCCAAUUGUUUUUGUCUCAAAUGGAUGCCAUUCUCUCCUAUGCUUGUAUUAUUUCUUAUUUGGUUCUUGUUUUUAUGCUUCUGCACCCAUCUCAACAUUCUCAUUUUUCCUACACUAAUUUUGUUACGAGCAUGAUUUCAAACCUAGCCUAGUCAUUGAACCGGUGAAGACAAAGGUUUAAGGGUUUAAGAUUCAAACAAUAUAUUAUUAAACAAAAAUUAGAUUUAUA
This 1230-nucleotide unclassified non-coding RNA is filed under the name Hevea brasiliensis (rubber tree). Lineage: Eukaryota; Viridiplantae; Streptophyta; Magnoliopsida; Malpighiales; Euphorbiaceae. The record is from RNAcentral.